RNAcentral lists this ribosomal RNA (950 nucleotides) under uncultured organism. RNAcentral describes it as "bacterial SSU rRNA". It matches the Rfam family "Bacterial small subunit ribosomal RNA", at positions 462 to 1427 of the family's 1533-position model. The record is from RNAcentral.
AUGCGGUAUGACGGUACCCUUUCGAAUAAGAGGUUGCUAACUCUGUGCCAGCAGCAGCGGUAAUACAGAGACCUCGAGCGUUAUCCGGAUUUACUGGGCGUAAAGCGUCUGUAGGGGGUUUGUUAAGUUCCAGGUAAAAUCUUAAGGCUCAACUUUAAGUUCGCUUGGAAAACUAAUAAACUGGAGUCCAGCAGAGGUGCAUGGAACUUGCGGUGUAGGAGUGAAAUCCGUUGAUAUCGCAAGGAACACCAAAGGCGAAGGCAUUGCACUGGGCUGGUACUGACCCUGAGAGACGAAAGCGUGGGGAGCAAAACGGAUUAGAUACCCGUGUAGUCCACGCCGUAAACGAUGGAUACUAGAUGUUCGGGGAUUCGACCCCCUGGGUGUCACAGCUAACGCGUUAAGUAUCCCGCCUGGGAAGUACGGCCGCAAGGCUAAAACUCAAAGGAAUAGACGGGGAUCCGCACAAGCGGUGGAGCGUCUGGUUUAAUUUGAUAGUAAGCAAUGGACCUCACCAAGGUUUGACAUCCUAUGACAACCCUGGAAACAGGGCUUCCUUCGGGCAUAGUGACAGGUGCUGCAUGGUCGUCGUCAGUUCGUGCCGUGAGGUGUUCCGUUAAGUCGGGAAACGAACGAAACCCUCGUCGCAUGUUACAAAUUUCAUGCGAGACUGCCCGGGUCAACCGGGAGGAAGGCGGGGAUGACGUCAGAUCAGCAUGGCCCUUAUACCUUGGGCUACACAGGCGCUACAAUGGCCGGUACAAAGGGUUGCAAAACCGCGAGGUGGAGCUAAUCCCAUAAAGCCGGUCCAAGUUCGGAUUGGAGGCUGCAACUCGCCUCCAUGAAGUUGGAAUCGCUAGUAAUCGUGGAUCAGCCAUACCACGGUGAAUACGUUCCCGGAUCUUGUACUCACCGCCCGUCACACCAAGAGAGUUGGUAGCUCCUGAAGC